GAUGAACGCUGACAGAAUGCUUAACACAUGCAAGUCUACUUGAAUUUGGGUUUUUUAACUUCGAUUUGGGUGGCGGACGGGUGAGUAACGCGUAAAGAACUUGCCUCACAGUUAGGGACAACAUUUGGAAACGAAUGCUAAUACCUGAUAUUAUGAAUAUAUGGCAUCAUAUACUUAUGAAAGCUAUAAGCGCUGUGAGAGAGCUUUGCGUCCCAUUAGCUAGUUGGAGAGGUAACGGCUCACCAAGGCGAUGAUGGGUAGCCGGCCUGAGAGGGUGAACGGCCACAAGGGGACUGAGACACGGCCCUUACUCCUACGGGAGGCAGCAGUGGGGAAUAUUGGACAAUGGACCAAGAGUCUGAUCCAGCAAUUCUGUGUGCACGAUGACGUUUUUCGGAAUGUAAAGUGCUUUCAGUUGGGAAGAAAAAAAUGACGGUACCAACAGAAGAAGAGACGGCUAAAUACGUG
This 468-nucleotide ribosomal RNA is filed under the name uncultured bacterium. RNAcentral's name for it is "partial 16S ribosomal RNA". It matches the Rfam family "Bacterial small subunit ribosomal RNA", at positions 28 to 507 of the family's 1533-position model. The record is from RNAcentral.